GUAAUUUUUGAGGAUUUAUGGUUCACUCAUUUUGGCGACUCGGAUCGCGCACCCUAGCGAAUUGGGACGCAAACAUCUUGCAAAUUAGGACGCACGAAUCAUAUCGUGGAGCUCAGGUGGUUGUAGUGAGUCUGGUAACUAUGGUCAUGUGAUUAUUCAAUAUGAGACAUAUCCCACGAGUUAAGGGAAAAUCUUAUCAAUUCCAACACUCUCCCCUUGAUG
RNAcentral lists this unclassified non-coding RNA (222 nucleotides) under Hevea brasiliensis (rubber tree). Lineage: Eukaryota; Viridiplantae; Streptophyta; Magnoliopsida; Malpighiales; Euphorbiaceae. The record is from RNAcentral.